Molecule: ribosomal RNA, 119 nt
Filed under: Pteropus alecto (black flying fox)
Lineage: Eukaryota; Metazoa; Chordata; Mammalia; Chiroptera; Pteropodidae
Source: RNAcentral
UGCUACGGCCAUGCCACCCUGAAUGUGCCUGAUCUCAUCUGAUCUCGGAAGGUAAGCAGGCUCGGGCCUGGUUAGUACUUAGCCGGGAGACCACCUUGGAAUAUCAGGCACUGUAGGUG